RNAcentral lists this long non-coding RNA (2302 nucleotides) under Nicotiana benthamiana. Its description in RNAcentral is "long non-coding RNA (NBEN_LNC041204)". The record is from RNAcentral. Lineage: Eukaryota; Viridiplantae; Streptophyta; Magnoliopsida; Solanales; Solanaceae.
CAUCCAACUUUCCUAAUUCCAUCAACAAAUAACAAUAAGGGCCUAUAUUUAUGUCACCACCACAUUAGCCUAACCCAUUUUUCUCACAGCUUUCUAUGUUUGACUGCAACUCUCUAUAUAUAUAUGCACUGGCCAAAAUAAAGAAAAAUGGUGAUUUUGUUAGUACUAAAAAUAGCUGCUACUACUCCAAAGGAAAGGGUGAUAGAUAGAAGAAGGGCAAUAGCAGAGUAAUUAAAGAGGAGCGGAGGAUCCCCUUAUUACAGCCCCUUUGAUGCCACUGCUAUGGGUUGCAGUGUUUGGUCAGUAACAAAGAUUAAAGGUCUUUGUAAUCUCAUCAUCACUUCUCUCUCUCUACUGUACUGCAACUUCUGCUGCUACCUUGUGCUAUUUUUACUUUUUUGUACUACCCAACAACCAGAUAUCACCCAUCCAAAAACUCUUUUAACUUUUGCCAUUCGGCCACAACUAGCUAGGUUCAAUUUUUACACCCUAAAAUUCUUUUCAUUCUUAGUGGGGAAAUUGGCUUAACUGGUGAGUUGAUGUCAUCACAUGCGAUCAAAAGGUUACAUAUUCGUAUCGUAAAAACAAGUUUUUAUAAAAAUAUAAGAUAAAUUAUAUAUUUAAUAAAUUUUAAUGGUUCGACUCUCCUUUUAAUUCAAUGCAUAACACAUGUUUAAUACAUCAAAUGUUCAAAUUGUCUUUUUGUCUCCUAAGUCUUUGGUGUCCCACUAGGUAUUGUUGUCCCGGGACUUUCCUUUUAGUUUUUAUAGAAUACUUUCUCCAGUUUACGAUAAGUGUUCAAUUUAUUUUUUAUUUUAGAUUAAAAUAAAUAUUUAAUUAUAUAAUUAAGAAAAAUUUUAAUUCGUUCUCACAAAAUAACUCCUAUGUACAUAUUUCUAAAAAAAAUUCUUACUCCUCACAUUACAAUAACAACAAUCCGACAACUUCCCGGCUGCCUUCUGCCAAAAGAUGUGGCCUCAUACAUUAAUAAAGCUAUUGAAGUCUCUUAAAAGCAGGUCUAUAUUCCCAUAAAUUUUUUUACUCCUCAUAUUAAAUAUUUAAUUAUAGGUAAUUUAAUUAUUCUAUGUAUUUUUAUAUAAUAUUUAAUAUUUUUUUAAUAAAUAUGCUAAAAAUAAAUUGACUACUUAUUAGGUUAGGAAGCGAAGGGAGUUACAAGUUACAACUAUUUGGUUAUUUAGCUCAAAUUGACCACUGAACUUCUUUUUCUAUACUGAAAGUGACACCUUACAGCUUCUUUUUCUGUUUUCUCUAGAUCACACCUUUUUUUUCUCCUUCUUUAUUGCUUCACUUAAAAGAAACAACAUCAUCUUUUUUUAAAUUAGCUUUCAUUUUUGGACUAUGUAAUUACACUGCAUGUCCUUGUGUCUACUUGCCUUCCACCAAUGACCAAUAAAUUACUCUUCCAGUUUAGGAUUUUCUAUUUAUCCAAGUCCUUGACUGUAUUAAAUAUGUCCCUUCAAAAAUCACUCUCAUUGUCCAUGACGCAGUACUAUGUGCCUAAUUUUUAUAUUGUAUAUUAGCCAAAUAUAAAAAUAGAAUGUUGUAUACAGAAGAUAUACCAGUAGUAUAUUUUUGGGGAAUAAGCUCAUAGGAAUUGAGGAUUAAGGAAAUGGAAAAGGAAAAAGAGAAAGGCAUAGAUAGUGUCAAAAUCUUGGUGAGGGUGAGGCAUUACUGUUCCCUAUAGAUCCAUGUCUGCCUAAAUGCAGUCACACUGCCCAUAACACUUCUCAAAACUCUGAUUUGGGAGACAAAAGGCUUCAUGUUUUAUACAUUCUCAGUACGUUCUCGGGUUUAUUUUAUUUUAUUUUUUUAAACCAAUUCCUAGUACAAAAGAUAAGUAAACUAACUUCACUGUGGACCAGUGCACUCAAUGGUAUUUGUAUUGGAUAGACAAACAUUCUUGCCAAUUUAACAGUCCACUUUAAAAUUUACCUUAUUUGAGAUUGCCCAAAUUCAUCACACAGUCAAAAAUAUUUUUGGGAUAAACUUUUAAUACUAUUGUUUUAUCCCUAGUUUGGAAACUAGUUUAGGGACAAAGUUAUUUCAGAAUUAAAAUUAAUAUCGGAAUAAUUUUUAUAUAUAUAUAUAUAUCUAUUGUUUGCAGUGUUUGGUCAGUAACAAAGAUUAAAGGUCUUUGUAAUCUCAUCAUCACUUCUCUCUCUCUCCUGUACUGCAUCUUCUGCUGCUACCCUUGUGCUAUUUUUACUUUUUUGUACUGCCCAAAGUGGAUAUCACCAACCCAAAAACUCUUUUACCUUUUGCCAUUCGGCCACAACUAGCU